GACAGAGGGUGCAAACGUUGUUCGGAAUUACUGGGCGUAAAGCGCGUGUAGGCUGCUCGGAAAGUCAGGUGUGAAAGCCCCGGGCUCAACCCGGGAAGUGCACUCGAAACUGCCAGGCUAGAGUAUCGGAGAGGUUGGUGGAAUUCUCGGUGUAGAGGUGAAAUUCGUAGAUAUCGAGAGGAACACCGGUGGCGAAGGCGGCCAACUGGACGAAUACUGACGCUGAGACUCGAAAGCGUGGGGAGCAAACAGG
This 253-nucleotide ribosomal RNA is filed under the name uncultured bacterium. Its description in RNAcentral is "partial 16S ribosomal RNA". It matches the Rfam family "Bacterial small subunit ribosomal RNA", at positions 524 to 776 of the family's 1533-position model. The record is from RNAcentral.